AUCGUGUGACUGGAACAUUAUUUCUCACUCUCGUUAUUAACAUGGGGAAAGAUUAAAACGAUAGAGAGAAUAACUGUACAUUUCUAAUAUAGAAAAUAAUAUGAGUCCCCAUCACAAGAGUAUUGGACUGUUUAUUUAUAAAUAAACGAGAAAAUUGUUUUUUUUUUCAAGAAAUUUAUGAAUUAUUUCCUUAAAGUCAUGUCGCCAUUUUAAACCAUAUACAGAAACUUCAUUUAUUAACAAUUUGUUAUAAUCGUUAAUACACAGAUCAAAAAUUGAAUGUAAAUUUGUGUAAAUUUUUGUUAAAAAUUUGUUGUGAAAGUUCUUUUACAUUGGGUAAAUCGCAAUUCAGUGAUCAAUAAUUCAUUUGAAAGCGCAAACCUUGGCGCCAUUUGUAAGAAGUUGAAAAGUGUGAUCUUAAUUUAAAUAAAUAUUUUAUUUGUAAAUAUUGCUCGUACAUUCCGUAAUAAUAUACAUUUUAUUAAUGUAGAAAUUCAGAUAUGCAAAAUAAAAGUGUUAUUAUUAACAUCUGUUUUCCGUUUAAUGAAACGGCGCAGUUGGUUAUUAAAGAGCACUUAAUUUAACAACAACAGAGUAUUUUAAAUGGUAAUUAUACAAACAAUAAUAUCCGUCGAAUAGACAAUUUAUCAUGAAAACUAUGAAACGAAAUAUCCAUUUAUGACAGACCGUUAUUAAACCGAUGAAAUUAGUAUAACCGCUCUACGUUUAACAUGGAUGAAUACGUAGAUUUGUUACUUGCAAGACGAAAAGAUUGUGAUAUUUUAUGGGCUUCUCGAUCUAUGGAUCCACUAUUACCACAUAAACUUUCUUUAGAAUCUAAAUAUUCCAGACAUCAAAUGAUCGAGGCAGUAUUAAACGAUGAAAAAGUUAAAUUAGCGAUUACAACUUUGGCUGCAGUACAGCAUGAGAGCAUAAAUAAAGUUGUAAAAGAUGCUCGUGUAAUGAUUAAUGAAAUGGCCAGUAAAGCAUGCCUAGCUACCGUUCGCUGGUUAGGUAUCAUUAUUACAAAAGUUCUUAAAAGAAUUUUCUUAAGUAUUUACAUAAAUGAGUCUACAUUAUUGAGACUACAAAAGGAAAUGCAAAUUUCUCAAGUUCAAUAUGUUUAUGUCCCUUCUCACAGAAGUUAUUUAGAUUUCAUAUUAUUAUCAUAUGUUUUGUUUUCUUAUGAUAUGGCUCUUCCAAAUAUUGCAAGUGGUAUGGACUUUUAUCAGAUGCAUGUAAUAGGAGAACUGUUAAGAAAAACAGGAGCUUUUUAUAUGCGACGUAGCUUUUCUAAUGAUUUAUUAUACAAACGAGUAUUUCAGUCAUAUGUAAUGUCUCUAGUAGAGCACAGUGAUAGAGCAAUAGAAUUUUUUAUUGAAGGUACUCGCAGUAGAAGUUUGAAAAGUAUAAUACCAAAAUUUGGUCUUUUGUCAACCAUUUUAGAAAGUUUACUAGAAGGUGGAGUACCUGACAUUCAUUUUAUACCUAUAAGUAUCAGUUAUGAACGACCACCAGAAGAACUGUUAUUUGCAUAUGAACUUUUGGGUGUCCCAAAACCAAAAGAAUCUACAGUUGGCCUUCUUCAGUCUUUAUCCAUUUUACAGAAACCAUCUGCUUAUGGGUCUGUUUUCUUUAAUAUUGGUGAGCCUAUUUCUGCUUGCAACUUCUUAAACAUGGAAGACCGUAAAGCAAGAGUGUUAUCACCUUACGUAAAACUGCCAUCAACUGUUCUUGAAAAAUUGGCAUACUGUGUAAUUGAUUCACAUAAAAAGAAUACUGUUCUUAUGCCUUUUAAUUUAAUUGCUUUGCUGUUCAAUGAAAGGAGCCAAGUGAAUCUUGAUAAUCCAUAUACAUUAGAUAGUUUAGUUAAUGAUUAUGUUUGGUGUAAAAACCUUUUACAAACAUUUAAUGCAACUGUACAUUCAACAAAGUCAUACGAUUUAAAUGAUAUGAGACAAGAAAUAUUAAAUGCUCUGAAAACUCAGGAAGAAUUACUCACACUUGAUCCAUUAGAAAUUUUAAGAUUGAAACAAAGACACAGAGGAACAAAGCUACAAAUUAAUACACGCAUUAAAGGCCAUACUCUUUCAGAGAAAAUAAUGCAAAUAGCAGUACCAGUUAUCAACAUGUCAAUUUAUUUAAACCCAACUCUUUCUUUUCUAAUAAAACCUGCUAUGGUGACAUUAGCAAUAGGAAAAGAAGGAGUUGAAUACGGUUGUGGUUUUGAACGAUAUGCAUUACUCAAAACAAUACUAAGCACAGAAUUUGCAAUGCCCCUAAUAGAUGAUGAGUCUCUGAUAAAGUUAGAAUGGGAAGAAACAUUAAAUGUUCUGUUGAGACUUAAUUAUAUAAGUAUCCAGGAUGACAAAUAUACUGAAGGACAGAACUCACAAGUAUUUUCUCUUUUGUAUAAUGUACUACUACCAUUUAUAGAUGCCAUAUAUGUCACAUAUCUUGUCUUGUUUGAGUGGGAUGAAUCAACCGAUAUAACAAUACAAGCUGUUUCAACUGAAGCUCAAAAACGGAUAGAACAAGCAUUUUUUAAUGGAAAUGAAUGGGGGAAACAUCCUUAUUCAUUAUGCCUUGAUUUAUUUUCUACAUCGAUAAAUAAUCUCCUAGUGCAAGGCAUUUUAGUGCCAGCCGAAAGACGGUGUACAUACCAAAUUGAUAAAAUUCGAUUGGCAUUACUUCUUGAAAAAUUGCAAAAUCUUUCGUUGAAACGACCGCCAAUUUCAUAUCGUGAUAUUGUAUUGUUAUCUUUUACACCGCCAGCUAUGCCGGCCAAGCUAUAAACAUAAGUAAAACUUCUCUAAAACCUUCACUACAGUAAGUUGAACUGGUUAAACCAAGGAUUUAUUUAACUCUUAAAAUUUUGUAAUGCAAUUCGCAUCACAGCCAUUAAUCUAGUCGAUACGUGAUCAUCUUUUAAAAUUAUUAAUUCCUUUUAUAAAUUUUUCAUAGUAAAUUAUUUAAUAUAUUACAAUUGCGAGUCGAUUAAAAAUUAGAGGUGUAUUUGUCCACGAUAUUGAGUAUUUUAACUGUCUCUUCGUCAAAUGCGUUUAUGGAUUUUCUCCUUCUACCGAGGAGUAGAGUUGUUCCAGUGGGGUUCGGUGUUGGAUUAUUCAUGUUUCUAAAUAAAAGCUAAAAAAGAUAAUUACAUGAGAAGACAAGUAUAUGAUUAUUUGCAAUAUCGUAAUGAAUUGUAUACAGUUAAGUUAAUAAUACCAUAACUAAUCGAACAAGGUAUACUGCAAACGUGAGAAAUGAGAUAGCCAUCAGUGCACCUUCUAAAGAUGGAAAUCCUGUGGCAUUAUCGUGAGAAUCAUAACUGUGAUCAUAAUGAUCUGUGCCUCUUUUUUUUCUACCGGGUAUUAGAGUCUGCGUGAGUCGAGAUUCUUAAACAAUAAUUAUAAUGCUGGUUAGGAAAGAAUCUUCUUCAUUGGUAUACUCAUGAAUCGUAGUGUCGCUAUCAGAAUUCUUAAGCUCGUGCACCACGAAUCUUCCACUUCCGUUCACCGAAAUUUCUUCGCUUGAGUCUUCGCGAGGAUCAUUAUUAUACAUGAAAGGAAAUUGAUUUUCCGCAGGGUUUUGGGAAAAUGGAAAUGGUUUAUGGAAAUGGUCCAGUUUCGAGGGGGGUAUUCUAUGUGUAAAAGGUGUAAGAUUUUUAAUAAAGUAUUUAUAUGGAUUUUUUCAUCUAUUCUAAUAUAAUUCUUCACACAUACCUGUAUAUCUUCUUUUCAUCGGAAAACUGUGGCAUAUCAAUCCAUUCUGCCAAACUGAUGUUCCAUAAGAAUAUGCUCAGUAUACUUGAUAUUAACAUUUUUAAGUUGAAUAAAAAAAUUUAUUAUUGUUCCGUCUUUACUGAAAUGACGUAAAUAAUAUUUUCACACAAUAAAAACGGGAAAUAUCAGUUUAUUUGUUGUGCAAAUGUCGCGUUCAAGAAAAUGCACGGAUAUCGUGUAUUUGAAUUAUUACAGUGACUAACUGAGAACGUUCUCGGAUACGUAGUGUGACACUCAGCAGGAUGUUAUUAUUUCAAGCAGAAGUUCUGUUAGAAUUAACGAGGACAAGACGAACAAUGAUAUAUUCUCUAUAAUGAUGUCAAUCGACGGAUUUCCUUAAAACGUUGUGAAAGUUUUACAUAAUCUUUUUAAAAUUUAUAACGCUAAGUAUCAUUCAUAAUUUAUUUAUUCACAUUAUUAUAAGUACAAUAAUGAUUUAACAUUUUAACAUUUUUAUGAAAAUUUGUUAAUUUCACUUAAAAUCUAUAAUCUGUUAUAAUUUAUUACUGCAUUUCAUUUAAGUACUUUUUAUCUGGUAAUUGUAUAAUUGCAAGUGAUGUAAAUAAAUGGAACGCAUUAUUAGCUCUUAUGGAACAGAAUGCACGUGUAAACAUUUUUAAACAUUCUUGGAACAAUAAAAAUUUUUUUAAAAUAUAUAUGCAACAAAUAUCUAAGUAGUUAAAUGACACAUUAGACUCAUCUUUUACAACAAAUAGUGGGAAAACAUAACAUGAACCAUAUAUCAAAUUGUUACUGAUAUUACAUUUGCAUAUAUAAAACAUUCUAUGCAUAAUAAUACCAAUCUAAAUUGCAGAAAUUCUCCUACACAUAAUAAACAUAUAAUUCUUGAAAAAUGUUGCACUCAUAUCUAUACUUAUUAUACCAAAAUUAUGCAAAAACUGUGUUCCAUAAAAUAUUUUGCUAUCAUAAAAAUAAGCAUUACAAUAAACGCAGUAUACGCAUCACAUAGGUAAAAAAAUUAUUGUACAAUGAUUUUUUAAUAACAUAGGCCGUGUCAUGCAUGUACAUACACUCUACAUUACAUUAAUCAAAUAUAUAUGUAC
Nomia melanderi (Alkali bee) is the source of this 4849-nucleotide RNA transcript. It is a transcript of the gene named dihydroxyacetone phosphate acyltransferase, with no coding region annotated. The record is from RefSeq and is a predicted model, not a curated record. NCBI's taxonomy places the organism in Eukaryota, Metazoa, Arthropoda, Insecta, Hymenoptera, Halictidae.